CUUCAAUGAAGAGAAGAUGACGAGUCUGACUGGAGGUAUUAUCUUUGCCAUGUGGCCCUUACUCCUUGCUGCGUUCUGUGGCGGUUUUAAGGGCCCCUGGGUUAAAGUGACUUCCAAAAGACGACCUAGAGGCAUUUGUCUGAGAAGG
Molecule: small nucleolar RNA, 148 nt
Organism: Ailuropoda melanoleuca (giant panda)
Lineage: Eukaryota; Metazoa; Chordata; Mammalia; Carnivora; Ursidae
Source: Ensembl